Molecule: transfer RNA, 57 nt
Filed under: Micropterix calthella
Lineage: Eukaryota; Metazoa; Arthropoda; Insecta; Lepidoptera; Micropterigidae
Description: tRNA-Ser
Source: RNAcentral
AAAAUAAUUUAUUAAAGCUUCUAACUUUAAAUUUAGUGAUUAUUCAUUAUUAUUUUU